Non-coding RNA from Acanthosepion pharaonis, 113 nucleotides. The record is from the annotation of a GenBank genome assembly. Lineage: Eukaryota; Metazoa; Mollusca; Cephalopoda; Sepiida; Sepiidae.
UUGCGGCUACAUCAUAUCGAAACACCAGUUCCCGUAAGAGCACCGAAGUUAAGCAACGUGGGUCCUGGUUAGUAUCUAGACGGGUGAACGCUUGGGAAUAUCAGGUGCUGUAA